CUCUCCUCUGCUACUGCCCCCCGCGGCCCGGCAUCAGAGGACCUGGGAUCGCCCCGGGAGCACGCGAGGGUCAUAUCAGAAUUUGAAUUGCAGAAACAACUGGAGAUAAGAGGCAGGGCCCCAAAAAGAUCCUGUAGAAGGUCCCAAAACGGAACCGACCCACCCCUCAGGGAGCCAGGUAAGGACCCUGCUAAGCCAUCACCUUCUGUCAGCUUCUGAGAUU
Molecule: long non-coding RNA, 223 nt
Filed under: Sus scrofa (pig)
Lineage: Eukaryota; Metazoa; Chordata; Mammalia; Artiodactyla; Suidae
Description: lncRNA (ENSSSCG00070004819.1)
Source: RNAcentral